This is a long non-coding RNA of Bos indicus x Bos taurus (hybrid cattle), 1536 nucleotides long. The record is from Ensembl. Lineage: Eukaryota; Metazoa; Chordata; Mammalia; Artiodactyla; Bovidae.
GCUCAAAGGAGCUAACUCACUUACCGAGGAUCCACCCUGAGCCAGCCUAUUCUCUUAACCUCUAUUCUGUAGUUUGGCAGGUAGCCGUCAACCCUGCAAAAGUCUGACCACCUGCGAAUCCCUGCGCAUUCUCUCGUGAGGAGGCAACAUGAGAGAAAAACAUGUAGGCAGCAAAAUAUCUGUGUUGAACAGGCUUUCCAGGACAAGUUGUCACAACCCAGAAGCUUCGAGGCCAAACGAGGAGGCAGCUGUGGGAUGCUAAGAAGACCCCUGGAAUUGGAGCAGCACCCAGCCCUGGAGGGGAGACGCACAGCUAGGGCUGUGGUUCUGAGAGACUCUGAAUCUUCUUGGAAUCAAAAAGCCCCACAGGCAGAUUUUCGAAGGCCAAGAAUUUUGGAACUCCUGCAGUCUUAACUCCCUGGAUUAACACUCUGUGACCAGACAACAGAGCAUAGCCAGAAAAAGUUCAGCAAUUUGGACUUAGACUCUUUUUCUGACUUUGGACAAUUUGCAUCCCUUUUCUGCCUCAGUUUUUCUUAUCUGUAAAAUGACUGCUUGAUCAGCCUAUAAAUCAGGCAAAGGAAAACAGAUUGCCUGGUUCAAACUUUAGGUGAACCACUUGCCAGCUACAUGACCUUGGGAAUGACACUUACCUCCCUAAAUCUCAGUUUCCUCAUCUGUAAAAUGGGGAUGGUAAGACCACCCACUGAAGAAUUGAUACUUUUGAACUGUGGUGUUGGAGAAGACUCUUGAGAGUCCUUUAGACUUUGAGGAGAUCAACCAGUUCAUCCUAAAGGAAAUCAGUCCUGAAUAUUCAUUGGAAGGACUGAUGCUGAAGCUGAAACUCCAAUACUUUGGCCACCUGAUGGAAAGAACUGACUCAUUUCCCUGAUGCUGGGAAAGAUUGAAGGCACGAGGAGAAGGGGACGACAGAGGGUGAGAUGGUUGGACGGCAUCACCGACUAGAUGGACAUGAGUUUGAGUAAGCUCUGGGAGCUGGUGAUGGACAGGGAAUCCUGUUGUGAGGCAGUCUAUGGGGUCCCAAAGAGUGAGACACGAUUCAGCGAUUCAGCGACUGAACUGAACUGAAGACCACCCACCUCAUAGGGUUCUUGGAAGAAGUCAAUGAGAUAAUGGAUUUACAAUGCAAAGCACAAAGUAAAUGCUUAGUAAAUCUUGGUGGUUGCUGCAAUCCUAGAGAAGAGAAAGAAAGAGGGUAGCUGGCAACAGACAGGCAGAGAUAUAUAUUUAAAUUUCAAGUGUUCCCACCCAAUCUUGCCGAACCCAUCCUCCUCCAGAAUGCCUGUGCCCAUCAUACACAGUGAAAUGGACAGGACAUUUUAGAGACUGUAGGUGAGAUGUACGGGAGGGUAAUGCUUGAGAAACACUGGACAAUGCUUUCUAAGUGCCAGAGAAAUGGAUAUUGCCUUUUAGCCCAAUAACUCCACUGCUGAGAUACAAGGACAUUAUUUGACACACACAAAAAAAGAUGUAAGUACAAAGUGUUCAUCUGAGCUUUUUAUAAUAAAAAAAUUG